This 460-nucleotide ribosomal RNA is filed under the name uncultured bacterium. RNAcentral's name for it is "partial 16S ribosomal RNA". It matches the Rfam family "Bacterial small subunit ribosomal RNA", at positions 338 to 795 of the family's 1533-position model. The record is from RNAcentral.
CCUACGGGGGGCAGCAGUGAGGAAUAUUGGUCAAUGGCCGUAAGGCUGAACCAGCCAAGUAGCGUGAGGGAAGACUGCCCUAUGGGUUGUAUACCUCUUUUAUGCGGGGAUAAAGGUGUCCACGUGUGGAUGUUUGCAGGUACCGCAUGAAUAAGGACCGGCUAAUUCCGUGCCAGCAGCCGCGGUAAUACGGAAGGUCCGGGCGUUACCCGGAUUUAUUGGGUUUAAAGGGAGCGUAGGCGGGUCUUUAAGCGUGCCGUGAAAUUUUGUGGCUCAACCAUGGGAGUGCGGCGCGAACUGGAGACCUGGAGUGCGCGGAAGGCAGGCGGAAUUCGUGGUGUAGCAGUGAAAUGCUUAGAUAUCAGGAGGAACCCCGGUUGCGAAGGCAGCCAGCCGCAGCGUUACUGACGCUGAAGCUCGAAAGCGCGGGUAGCGAACAGGAUUAGAUACCCGAGUAGUC